AUGAGUCGACCUGAUGGGAUCAACAUCCCCGACGACAAGUUCUACCUUGGAGAUGUUGGCUAUGCAUGUCGGUUGGGUAUUCUUCCACCCUUCAGGAAAACCAGGUACCAUCUCAACGAGUUCUCUGGUAGGAACUAUCCUAGGACUGCACAACAGCUGUUUACUCUCAGACACUCCAGCCUUAGAGUAACUAUUGAGAGGGCAUUCGGAGCUCUGAAGAAUAGGUUUAAGAUCCUGGAUUAG
RNAcentral lists this ribosomal RNA (243 nucleotides) under Triticum aestivum (bread wheat). RNAcentral describes it as "partial small subunit ribosomal RNA". The record is from RNAcentral. Lineage: Eukaryota; Viridiplantae; Streptophyta; Magnoliopsida; Poales; Poaceae.